UUACGGCCAUAUCACGGUGAACCACCGGUUCCUGUACGAUCACCGAAGUUAAGCAACGUCGAGCCUGGUCAGUACCGAGAUGUCAUACUGGUAAGGA
Molecule: non-coding RNA, 97 nt
Organism: Acanthosepion pharaonis
Lineage: Eukaryota; Metazoa; Mollusca; Cephalopoda; Sepiida; Sepiidae
Source: the annotation of a GenBank genome assembly